AACCAAGAUGGUUAAGUUAUAUCUUUAUGGUAAAAAGACAGUUAAAUAGUCUAUAUAAGUCUCAUUAAGAUCUAUAUAAGGGUAAAAUCUGAGUAUAGACCUGAAAUUUAGUAGUGACUAAAAAAUUGAAGCUGUGAUAGUUCUGGGAGAGACUGGGAUUAGAUACCCCAUUAUUCUUAACUGUAAACACGAUGUAGAUUUACCGGAGUACUACGAACUAUAAUAGUUUAAAACUCAAAGAGCUUGGCGGUGUUUUAGACCUCUCAGGGGAACCUGUCUCAUAACCGACAAUCCACGAUAUAUCUAACCUUUUUUUGCUCUACAGUUUGUAUACCGUCGUCGUCAGGUAACUUUUAAAAAUUUAGAAGUUAGCAAACAAAUUUAAUAAAUUUAAACGUCAGAUCGAGGUGCAGCCGAUAUAGAGGUGAGGAUGGGUUACAAUUAUAAAAUUAUAAUUACGAAUUGUUUAUUUAAAUUUAAUAAACUUGAAGGAGGACUUGAAAGUAAACUGAAUUACAAAAAUAUUUUGAAUAAGGCUCUGAAACGUGC
Molecule: ribosomal RNA, 549 nt
Filed under: Dermomurex neglectus
Lineage: Eukaryota; Metazoa; Mollusca; Gastropoda; Neogastropoda; Muricidae
Description: partial 12S ribosomal RNA
Source: RNAcentral